Molecule: small RNA, 202 nt
Filed under: Mus pahari (shrew mouse)
Lineage: Eukaryota; Metazoa; Chordata; Mammalia; Rodentia; Muridae
Description: sRNA (MGP_PahariEiJ_G0008102.1)
Rfam family: 7SK RNA
About the family: 7SK was discovered as an abundant small nuclear RNA in the mid-70s but a possible function has only recently been suggested. Two independent studies have found that 7SK RNA binds the CDK9/cyclin T complex (known as elongation factor P-TEFb).
Source: RNAcentral
UGACAGGGCUGAUUAUGCCGAUCUAGCUGGCUUCUUUUCUUACAACUCUGUACAUGUCCCUCCCAAAACUGCUUGUUUGGCUGGAGAGAAUGACCUUCCAGAAGAACAGGGCCCACUGUUCUUUGGUCACAGGUAUAACAAAUCGCUGCAGUUCACAACUAGAACCUCCAACCCUUUUUGCAUUUAAGAAUGCAAAAGUCUU